UCGACGGACACUCAGGGCUUGCUCUGAGUGUUAGUGGCGGACGGCUGAGUAACGCGUAGGUGACCUGCCCCGAAGUGGGGAAUAACUGCCCGAAAGGGUGGCUAAUACCGCAUGUGGUGAUGCGUUCGAUCGCAUCAGUAAAGCCGCAAGGCGCUUCGGGAGGGGCCUGCGUCCGAUUAGCUCGUUGGUGGGGUAACGGCUCACCAAGGCGACGAUCGGUAGGUGGUCUGAGAGGACGAUCACCCAGACUGGGACUGAGACACGGCCCAGACUCCUACGGGAGGCAGCAGUCGGGAAUUUUGCGCAAUGGACGAAAGUCUGACGCAGCAACGCCGCGUGAGGGAUGACGGCCUUCGGGUUGUAAACCUCUUUUGUCAGGGACGAUAAUGACGGUACCUGGCGAAUAAGCCACGGCUAACUACGUGCCAGCAGCCGCGGUAAUACGUAGGUGGCAAGCGUUGUCCGGAUUUACUGGGCGUAAAGAGCGCGCAGGCGGUCGAUCAAGUCGCGUGUGAAAGCCCCCGGCUCAACUGGGGAGGGUCACGCGAUACUGAUCGACUCGAAGGCAGGAGAGGGUAGUGGAAUUCCCGGUGUAGUGGUGAAAUGCGUAGAUAUCGGGAGGAACACCAGUGGCGAAGGCGACUAC
Molecule: ribosomal RNA, 646 nt
Filed under: uncultured bacterium
Lineage: Bacteria
Description: bacterial SSU rRNA
Rfam family: Bacterial small subunit ribosomal RNA
Source: RNAcentral